GUGCUCCUAUUCGAUGAUCAAAUUUUAACUGUUAUGGUUCGGAUAUUGAAGGAGAUGGCUAGGGUCUGUUAAUGAAAGAAUGAUGCAAUGAUUUUAUUGCUUCGAAGAACAAUACAGUACAAAGAGCAAGUUUUAUACACAAUCAAGAGAAUGAAAAUCACGCCAAAGAAAAGAUAGUCCAGAUGGGCUGAACUGAAACUGUUAAUAUCUGAUCUCGUCCAAAUCUCACCAAAUAAGAUUCAUCUGAACCUUAGCAGUUAAGAAUUGAUUUUGUCCAAUUGCUCCAGUUGUGGGUUUUGGUGGAUUUGGAAACAUCGAAGGAUUUCAACUAAGGAAAGGCGGUGAUAUGAGUCAAUGGUCUACUCAAUUUGACUAGUGUCAGUAUGUGAAAGACCUCAGUUUCGGGAAAGAGGACAUAGCCACUUCAAGCAUUUCCACCGUUCCAUGAUAGUAAACAUUAUACAUGAUAAUAAACAUGUACAAGAAGAACCAUUGAUUCACACAGGUGGUCAUUGUACGGUUGUACUUCAAGUCAAUUAUGCACAAUUUUGCAUGGCAGAUUAUGACUAAAUGCCUCCAAGUCAAUUGCUAGCGGCACGUCUGUCCACCACCAACCCCCAUUAGCUUGCACUGGUCCGAGCUGUCAACUGAGCAUUUGUUGAUGGACAAACUACCUCAUCUGCACAUUGAAGCUUGAUUUGUAUGGAGAUUUUGAGACGAAAAAAACAAGCUGCACUUCUGUCAGAAUUUAGUCAACUGGUAUGCAAAGCUUAGUUUAGUUGAUCAAUCUACUAUGAACAACCUGAAAAAUAUGAUUUUAUAAUACUUGAAGUUCAGAUUUUACAUGCAAAUAAGUAAUGUUACAGGAGGUGUGUUUGUAUUUUAUCUUUUUCAUGUUUAUCUGAAGGGUUGUAGAUGGAAGUGAAGGUAGAGGAAUGUUGCUUGCUGGAACAUUUGCGAGGACAAAGAAAAUUCUACCAUCAAGUUGCUGUACAGCAAAUUGUCUUAGGGUAACAUUAUAAUUCAGUAGCUAAUCAAUAUACAUUACCUGCUUAUAUCUACUCGUCACAAAACCAGACUUACUUUUAAAUUUAC
RNAcentral lists this long non-coding RNA (1095 nucleotides) under Ananas comosus (pineapple). Its description in RNAcentral is "long non-coding RNA (ACOM_LNC010024)". The record is from RNAcentral. Lineage: Eukaryota; Viridiplantae; Streptophyta; Magnoliopsida; Poales; Bromeliaceae.